This 498-nucleotide ribosomal RNA is filed under the name uncultured bacterium. Its description in RNAcentral is "partial 16S ribosomal RNA". It matches the Rfam family "Bacterial small subunit ribosomal RNA", at positions 30 to 523 of the family's 1533-position model. The record is from RNAcentral.
AUUGAACGCUGGCGGCAUGCUUUACACAUGCAAGUCGAACGGUAACAGGUCUUCGGAUGCUGACGAGUGGCGAACGGGUGAGUAAUGCAUCGGAACGUGCCCGAGAGUGGGGGAUAACGAGGCGAAAGCUUUGCUAAUACCGCAUACGAUCUCAGGAUGAAAGCAGGGGACCGCAAGGCCUUGCGCUCACGGAGCGGCCGAUGGCAGAUUAGGUAGUUGGUGGGAUAAAAGCUUACCAAGCCGACGAUCUGUAGCUGGUCUGAGAGGACGACCAGCCACACUGGGACUGAGACACGGCCCAGACUCCUACGGGAGGCAGCGGUGGGGAAUUUUGGACAAUGGGCGCAAGCCUGAUCCAGCCAUGCCGCGUGCAGGAUGAAGGCCUUCGGGUUGUAAACUGCUUCUGUACGGAACGAAAAGACUCUGGUUAAUACCUGGGGUCCAUGACGGUACCGUAAGAACAAGCACCGGCUAACUACGUGCCAGCCGCCGCCGUAA